UGCAGUUGACGGACUUAAUCGAAAUAUUUAUAUUUUGAAGCGGUUAGUGGCGGACUGGUGAGUAACGCGUAAGGAACCUGCCUAUUAGAGGGGAAUAACAGUGAGAAAUCAUUGCUAAUACCGCAUAUGCCAUAGAUAUCACAUGAUAACAGUGGGAAAGGAGCAAUCCGCUAAUAGAUGGCCUUGCGUCUGAUUAGAUAGUUGGUGGGGUAACGGCCUACCAAGUCGACGAUCAGUAGCCGGACUGAGAGGUUGAACGGCCACAUUGGGACUGAGAUACGGCCCAGACUCCUACGGGAGGCAGCAGUCGGGAAUAUUGCGCAAUGGAGGAAACUCUGACGCAGUGACGCCGCGUAUAGGAAGAAGGUUUUCGGAUUGUAAACUAUUGUCGUUAGGGAAGAGAAAGGACAGUACCUAAGGAGGAAGCUCCGGCUAACUACGUGCCAGCAGCCGCGGUAAUACGUAGGGAGCGAGCGUUAUCCGGAAUUAUUGGGUGUAAAGGGUGCGUAGACGGGAGAACAAGUUAGUUGUGAAAUACCUCGGCCCAACUGAGGAACUGCAACUAAAACUGUACUUCUUGAGUGCAGGAGAGGUAAGUGGAAUUCCUAGUGUAGCGGUGAAAUGCGUAGAUAUUAGGAGGAACACCAGUGGCGAAGGCGACUUACUGGACUGUAACUGACGUUGA
RNAcentral lists this ribosomal RNA (685 nucleotides) under uncultured bacterium. RNAcentral describes it as "bacterial SSU rRNA". It matches the Rfam family "Bacterial small subunit ribosomal RNA", at positions 56 to 749 of the family's 1533-position model. The record is from RNAcentral.